RNAcentral lists this transfer RNA (81 nucleotides) under Thermomicrobiales bacterium. RNAcentral describes it as "tRNA-Leu". It matches the Rfam family "tRNA". From Rfam's summary of the family: Transfer RNA (tRNA) molecules are approximately 80 nucleotides in length. Their secondary structure includes four short double-helical elements and three loops (D, anti-codon, and T loops). Lineage: Bacteria; Pseudomonadati; Thermomicrobiota; Thermomicrobia; Thermomicrobiales. The record is from RNAcentral.
GCGGGCGUGGCGGAAUGGCAGACGCUGUGGUCUUAAACACCACUCUGGUAACAGGUACGGGUUCGAAUCCCGUCGCCCGCA